GACGAACGCUGGCGGCGUGCUUAACACAUGCAAGUCGAACGGGUCUGCCCUGUUUUUUGCGGGGUGGGUCAGUGGCGAACGGGUGAGUAACACGUGAGUAACCUGCCCCUCACUUCUGGAUAACCGCUUGAGAGGGUGGCUAAUACGGGGUGUUCUGGCUGUGCCGCAUGGUGUGGCUGGGAAAGAUUCACUUUUGUGGUGUUUUGGUGGGGGAUGGGCUCGCGGCCUAUCAGCUUGUUGGUGGGGUGAUGGCCUGCCAAGGCUUUGACGGGUAGCCGGCCUGAGAGGGUGGGCGGUCACACUGGGACUGAGAUACGGCCCAGACUCCUGCGGGAGGCAGCAGUGGGGGGUAUUGCACAAUGGGCGGAAGCCUGAUGCAGCGACGUCGCGUGAGGGAUGGAGGCCUUCGGGUUGUGAACCUCUUUCGCCGGUGAAGAAGGUCCUGCUCUUUGUGGUGGGGUUGACGGUAGCCGGGUUAUGAAGCGCCGGCUAACUACGUG
This 500-nucleotide ribosomal RNA is filed under the name uncultured bacterium. RNAcentral describes it as "partial 16S ribosomal RNA". It matches the Rfam family "Bacterial small subunit ribosomal RNA", at positions 28 to 507 of the family's 1533-position model. The record is from RNAcentral.